AAUUUUUUAAAACAUACUAUUUGAUUAAAGUUAUAAAUAAAUUAGAAUAAAAGUUAAGAGUAUUUAAUAAAAACGUUAAGAUAUUAAUUACAGCAAUUCUACUCUACCUCACGUGCCAUGCGCGCGCGAGGGUGUAUGUAUAUUUUUAUGUAUGUGAAAAGGCGGGAUAAGCGGAGGUCGCCAUUGUGAAAUAAAUAGAAGAAAAGGCGGGAUAAAAGAAUGCAUUGUAGACAUUUUGCUGAGAAUAUUUAAAUCAUUUGCGAUUAUUGCAUAAUUUAAUAUGAACAAAUUAGAUCAUUAUAAUAAGAGUAAAGAGACAGAUGUUGAGAUGUCUGCUUUAGAAGUAUCCAGCGAGUCAAAUAAAACAGCAGGCAAAAGACAACGUGCGAUAUCUUCUGAAGAUGAAACAUUACCUACAAAGAAGCCUCGCAAUUCUACAGAACAAGAAGUACCAGCUUCAAAUGGAUCAACGUCGCAUGAUGCAAAUGAUGAUGCGAAGAAAGAAAUAAAAGAAAAUACUAGCUCAACGAAUAAUCAGGAAAGCAUAUCUUUAUCGACUAAUAAUAUCAAUAAGAAAUCUAAUGAAGAAGAAGAA
Molecule: long non-coding RNA, 595 nt
Filed under: Polistes fuscatus (common paper wasp)
Lineage: Eukaryota; Metazoa; Arthropoda; Insecta; Hymenoptera; Vespidae
Description: uncharacterized LOC122524414
Source: RNAcentral